RNAcentral lists this unclassified non-coding RNA (350 nucleotides) under soil metagenome. Its description in RNAcentral is "partial contains 5.8S ribosomal RNA, internal transcribed spacer 2, and large subunit ribosomal RNA". The stretch from base 1 to 120 matches the Rfam family "5.8S ribosomal RNA", at positions 35 to 154 of the family's 154-position model. The record is from RNAcentral.
GAUGAAGAACGUAGCGAAAUGCGAUAAGUAAUGUGAAUUGCAGAAUUCAGUGAAUCAUCGAAUCUUUGAACGCACAUUGCGCCCGCCAGUAUUCUGGCGGGCAUGCCUGUUCGAGCGUCAUUACAACCCUCAGGCCCCCGGGCCUGGCGUUGGGGAUCGGCGGAAGCCCCCUGCGGGCACAACGCCGUCCCCCAAAUACAGUGGCGGUCCCGCCGCAGCUUCCAUUGCGUAGUAGCUAACACCUCGCAACUGGAGAGCGGCGCGGCCACGCCGUAAAACACCCAACUUCUGAAUGUUGACCUCGAAUCAGGUAGGAAUACCCGCUGAACUUAAGCAUAUCAAGCGGAGGA